CAGCCGCCGCGGGAAUACGGAGGGAGCUAGCGUUGUUCGGAAUCACUGGGCGUAAAGGGCUCGCAGGCGGUUUCUUAAGUCUGAUGUGAAAGCCCCCGGCUCAACCGGGGAGGGUCAUUGGAAACUGGGAAACUUGAGUGCAGAAGAGGAGAGUGGAAUUCCACGUGUAGCGGUGAAAUGCGUAGAGAUGUGGAGGAACACCAGUGGCGAAGGCGACUCUCUGGUCUGUAACUGACGCUGAGGAGCGAAAGCGUGGGGAGCGAACAGGAUUAGAUACCCCAGUAGUCCCUGUCUCUUAUAC
RNAcentral lists this ribosomal RNA (301 nucleotides) under uncultured bacterium. RNAcentral's name for it is "partial 16S ribosomal RNA". It matches the Rfam family "Bacterial small subunit ribosomal RNA", at positions 509 to 807 of the family's 1533-position model. The record is from RNAcentral.